UACGGAGGAUGCGAGCGUUAUCCGGAUUUAUUGGGUUUAAAGGGUGCGUAGGCGGUUUGUUAAGUCAGCGGUGAAAUCUAGAGGCUCAACCUCGAAACUGCCGUUGAAACUGGCGAACUUGAGUGUAGAUGAGGUAGGCGGAAUUCGUGGUGUAGCGGUGAAAUGCAUAGAUAUCACGAGGAACUCCGAUUGCGAAGGCAGCUUACUAAGGUACAACUGACGCUGAAGCACGAAAGCGUGGGUAUCAAACAGG
RNAcentral lists this ribosomal RNA (253 nucleotides) under uncultured bacterium. Its description in RNAcentral is "partial 16S ribosomal RNA". It matches the Rfam family "Bacterial small subunit ribosomal RNA", at positions 524 to 776 of the family's 1533-position model. The record is from RNAcentral. RNAcentral also lists the same sequence under 1 other name.